This is a long non-coding RNA of Tympanuchus pallidicinctus (lesser prairie-chicken), 632 nucleotides long. RefSeq lists it as uncharacterized. The transcript has 2 exons. Lineage: Eukaryota; Metazoa; Chordata; Aves; Galliformes; Phasianidae. The record is from RefSeq and is a predicted model, not a curated record.
AGCAACAGCACUCGCUUUGGAAUUGCAGCUAAAUACAAGUUGGAUUCCACUGCCUCCCUCUCUGCUAAAGUGAACAACUCUAGUCUAGUUGGAGUGGGUUACACCCAGACCCUGAGGCCAGGUGUGAAGCUUACUUUGUCUGCCCUGAUAGAUGGAAAGAGCAUCAAUGCUGGUGGCCAUAAACUUGGUCUAGGCCUGGAAUUGGAAGCUUAAAAAGGUGAAGAAACUGCUGCAGAGAAGGGAUAUCAGAAGAAUUUGGCCUUAAAACGUAUUUCCAAUGUGACCAGCAGGCUUUUUCCCAAAACGAGUACAAGAGCUGUAUUUGUAUUUAGGCAGUUACUUGUUAGCUGGUUUCUAGUUAAAUUGGUUACCCGUCUAGUUACGAGUCUGCACUAGCGCAGUCACUUAAACAUUACUUAAAUGUAUUUAACUGUUCAAUGCGCUACCCACAAAUAAGGAAAUAGACAUCUGAGAAAACUGUACAAUUGUGUGCAUGCUUGUUUUAUGUUCCUUUUAACAUUCAAUAUUGCUGUUGAAUGGAAAAUCAAUCAGUGGAUAUCUUGAAAUGAGGUCAACGGUUCUGUCAAAUCACCUUACGUAGAAAUACAUUUGGUAUCCCAAGAUGACUCAAA